This 516-nucleotide ribosomal RNA is filed under the name Boophis liami. RNAcentral describes it as "partial 16S ribosomal RNA". It matches the Rfam family "Bacterial large subunit ribosomal RNA", at positions 1915 to 2597 of the family's 2925-position model. The record is from RNAcentral. Lineage: Eukaryota; Metazoa; Chordata; Amphibia; Anura; Mantellidae.
UGACAAGAUUUAACGGCCGCGGUACCCUAACCGUGCGAAGGUAGCACAAUCACUUGUUCUUUAAAUGAGGACCAGUAUCAAUGGCAUCACGAGGAUCUUACUGUCUCCCUCCCCCAAUCAGUGAAACUGAUCUCUCCGUGAAGAAGCGGGGAUAUUUUUAUAAGACGAGAAGACCCCAUGGAGCUUUAAACCCGAUGACACCCACUUAUUCUAUGCCCUGACACACCCUCUGGUUAUUGAUCAUUCGGCUUUAGGUUGGGGUGACCACGGAGUACAAAACAACCUCCAUGAAAAAAGGAAAAUAACCCUCAUCAAAGAACAACCCUUCUAAGAACUAACAAAUUAAUUUUUAAUGAUCCGACAUUCGAUCAACGAACCAAGUUACCCUGGGGAUAACAGCGCAAUCCACCUCAAGAGCCCCUAUCGACAGGUGGGUUUACGACCUCGAUGUUGGAUCAGGGUGCCCCAGUGGUGCAGCAGCUACUAAAGGUUCGUUUGUUCAACGAUCAAAACCCU